Molecule: ribosomal RNA, 255 nt
Filed under: uncultured bacterium
Lineage: Bacteria
Description: partial 16S ribosomal RNA
Rfam family: Bacterial small subunit ribosomal RNA
Source: RNAcentral
UACAGGGGGGGGCAAGCGUUGUUCGGAAUUACUGGGCGUAAAGGGCCAGUAGGCGGCCAACUAAGUCACACGUGAAAUCCCCAGGCUUAACCUGGGAACUGCGUGUGAUACUGGAUGGCUUGAAUUCGGGAGAGGGAUGCAGAAUUCCAGGUGUAGCGGUGAAAUGCGUAGAUAUCUGGAGGAAUACCGGUGGCGAAGGCGGCAUCCUGGACCAUAACUGACGCUGAGGCGCGAAAGCUAGGGGAGCAAACGGGG